This 340-nucleotide ribosomal RNA is filed under the name Drosophila aracataca. Its description in RNAcentral is "eukaryotic LSU rRNA". Lineage: Eukaryota; Metazoa; Arthropoda; Insecta; Diptera; Drosophilidae. The record is from RNAcentral.
GCCCGAUGAACCUGAAUAUCCGUUAUGGAAAAUUCAUCAUUAGAAUUGUAGUAUUUAAACAAUAUUAUAAUGAUAGUGUGCAUUUUUUCCAUAUAAGGACAUUGUAAUCUAUUAGCAUAAUAAAUUUAUCAAAAAAUUAUGUCAUCAUGUUUAUUUCAUUAUUAAUGCUUGCAUUUUAACAUAAAAUAAAAGUCAUAAAUUUGAUAAAGUGCUGAUAGAUUUAUAAGAUUACAGUGCGUUAAUUUUUCGGAAUUAUAUAGUGGCAUAAAUUUCAUUGAUUUUUGUGUUUAUUAUAUGCACUUGUAUGAUUAACAAUGCGAAAGAUUCAGGAUACUUCGGG